CAAGACCCUGCUCUUCCUCCUCUGUCUCAUCGUCCUCAUAGUCAGGUGCCACAGGAGGAAGGCCCCGAGGCCCCAAAGGAGCACAAAGGAUGCAAACACAGUCUCAGGUUAAUCCCUCAGCCUAUAUUGAUGGCCGUCUCCUGCUCAUCAUGCUGGGAUUGUUCCUGUGGCCUCAUCUCUUCCCUGGGUCCCUGAACCCACCAGCUACCUGUCUCCAGAUUGUGUAUCCAGAGACAUAUGGUCCACUUCCUGCACAGUGUGAACAAUGACGCUUCCUCUCCAUGGCCAGAGAUGAGGUGCAACCACCACAGGCUGGACUUGAGGGCUCAGCGUGGUCUGUCUCCUACUGGAGUCUCCACUAGAUUCUAUUAUCUCCCUGCAUCUCACGUCAUCUCCACAUCUGGCUGGGCCAGGGCCUUUGUGACUCUGAGACUUUGCAUGUGCAGUUCCUUCGGCUGAAAUAUCCUUCCCUUCCCAUCCCUACAUCUCCAACUGAUGAUCAUACUUCUUAGUUAAUAGUCAUCCGAUUGAACAUGUGUGUGUGAUUAUUGUAUAAGUUUGAAUGAAAUCAUAUUUAGUCAUUUAUAUACAGACACUUUAGAAAGUAUAAGAGAGCACCUACUAUGUGCCAGCAUUGUUGUACGUAAUGGGGAUGCAACCAUGAACCUGGCAUCAAAAAUCUCUGUC
Molecule: long non-coding RNA, 687 nt
Organism: Myotis davidii
Lineage: Eukaryota; Metazoa; Chordata; Mammalia; Chiroptera; Vespertilionidae
Exons: 3
Source: RefSeq, a predicted model, not a curated record